GCUGUGAUGGCCGAUUGGUUAAGGCGUUUGACUCGAAAUCAAAUGGGCUAUGCCCGCGCAGCUUCGAAUCAGCUAACAGAG
Molecule: transfer RNA, 81 nt
Filed under: Dreissena polymorpha
Lineage: Eukaryota; Metazoa; Mollusca; Bivalvia; Myida; Dreissenidae
Rfam family: tRNA
About the family: Transfer RNA (tRNA) molecules are approximately 80 nucleotides in length.
Source: Rfam by way of RNAcentral